This is a non-coding RNA of Caretta caretta (loggerhead turtle), 2547 nucleotides long. NCBI's taxonomy places the organism in Eukaryota, Metazoa, Chordata, Testudines, Cheloniidae. The record is from RefSeq and is a predicted model, not a curated record.
GGGGAGCCGCCGUUGCCGUGGUGCGGAGUGACGGCUGCGGGCGAGGCGGUGAGUCAGGAGGGCGCAGCCGAGGCUGAGGCGCGGGGGUCAGUGUCUUCCGCGCGGCGCCGGGCGGGGAGCGGCUGUUGCGAGGUCUCGGCCCAGGGCCUCUCCGCCGUCCGUCUCCUUGCCCCCGCCGGGCCUGCCCCGCUCUCUUCUCCUGCUCGCUGCCCGCCGCGGCCCGGCCAUGUCGGGGAUGCUGGGGAAGCUGUUCGGGACGGGCGGCAAGGGCGCCGGGAAGGGCCCGACGCCGCAGGAGGCCAUCCAGCGGCUCCGCGACACCGAGGAGAUGCUCAGCAAGAAGCAGGAGUUCCUGGAGAAGAAGAUCGAGCAGGAGCUGGUGGCGGCCCGCAAGCACGGCACCAAGAACAAGCGGGCUGCUCUUCAAGCCCUAAAACGCAAGAAGAGGUACGAGAAGCAGCUUUCACAGAUAGAUGGCACGUUAUCAACAAUUGAAUUCCAGAGGGAAGCCCUUGAAAAUGCCAACACCAAUACUGAAGUGCUCAAGAAUAUGGGCUUGGCUGCUAAAGCUAUGAAAGCUGCUCAUGACAACAUGGAUAUCGAUAAAGUAGACGAAUUGAUGCAGGACAUUGCAGAACAGCAGGAGCUGGCAGAUGAAAUUUCAACAGCUAUUUCAAAGCCUGUAGGAUUUGGGGAAGACUUUGAUGAGGAUGAACUGAUGGCAGAAUUGGAGGAACUAGAACAGGAAGAAUUAGACAAAAACCUGCUGGAGAUCAGUGGUCCCGAGACAGUACCACUGCCAAACGUGCCCUCAAUAGCAAUACCAUCAAAGCCAGGUCCAGUCAACGUGCAUCGAGGUGUUUUAAAAGAGUUGGCUGAGGAGCUUGCUGGAGAGUUAAUGUUGAUUUUCAAUUAGUCUCAGGGCACUGGAGAAGUUUCAGAAGACUAGAAGAAAAUUAAUGUGCUAAUUUUAAAAAAGAGUAAACAGGAUGACCCGGGUAAUUCUAGGUCUGAUAUAGGUCCCAGGCAAGAUAAUGGAGUGGCUGAUAUGGGAAUCAGUUAAUAAAGAAUUAAAGGAGGGUAAUGUAAUUAAUGCCAAUCAACAUGGGUAUAUGGAAAAUAGAUCCUGUCAAAUUAACUUGAUAGCUUUUUAAAUGAGAUUAUAAAUUUAGUUGAUAAAGUUGAUUUCUGAAAGGCAUUUGGCUUGGUGCCACACAACAUUUUGAUUAAAAAAAACUAGAAUGAUAUAAAAUGAACAUGUCGCAUGUUAAAUGGAUUAAAAACUGGCUAACUGAUAAGUCUCAACAUGUAGUUGUAAACGGGGAAUGUUCAUCAAGUGGGUGUGUUUCUAGUGGAGUCCUGCAGGGAUGAGUCCUUGGCCCUAUACUAUUUAACAUUUUUUUAUCAGUUACCUGGGAAAAAACAUAAAAUCAUCAUUGAUAAAGUUUGCAGAUGAUACUAAAAUUGGGAGAGUGGUAAAAAUUGAGGCAGACAGGUCACUAAUACAGAGUGAUCUGGAUCACUUGGCUAACUGGGCGCAAUCAAACAAUAUGUGUUUUAAUACAGUUAAAUAUAAAUGUAUACAUCCCAAAACAAAGAGUGUAGGCCAUACUUACAGAAUGGGGAACUCUAUCCUGGGAAGCAGUGACUCUGAAAAAGACUGGAGGGGAUCAUGGUGGAUUAUCAGCUGAACAUGAGCUUCCAAUGGGACACUGUGGCCAAAAGAGCCAAGAAGAAAGAAGAGGAGGAUGAUGAUGACAUGAAAGAGUUGGAAGCUUGGGCUGGAAACAUGUAACUACAGCAGCAAUGGCUUGGAAAAACAAAACAGACUUUGGCCACCUGUUCUAGGUGCACGUGAAGUGUGAUGGGGACAAAACAUUCAGCAAAAUGUCUUUUAUCUCUUUAAUCUUAACCCAAAGCAGUGGGCACUGCAUCGCUGUACUCUGCAUAGCAUGGUCUGCGCAAAGAAAACAAAGGGGGUCGGGGAAAUUUGCCUGCAGUUGAUGUUGAAUUUCUGUAAAAUAAAAUGUAUUUGCAAAAUCCAACGUUCAGCUUCUGGACUAUGCUAAUGCCACUGCUGGAUCUUCAUCUUCUAGAGUUUUGGGGUGUAUUGAAUCUAAAUGACCUGAAAUGCAGCCUGUAAUUUUAAGUCAGUUGAAAGUGUGUCUGGAAGUCUUGUAAGGCAUUUAAAAAGGAAAAGUCAUAAGCCACCAUCGGCUUCUCAUGUUUAGGUAUAAGAAUGCGUUAGGUUUUUAGUUCUUUGCACUCUGUAUUUAUUUCCUUUGACUGUGUGAUCACCUUCUAUCACUGCACUGACCUAGUCACUGUUCCCAUUUUUAAUUAGUGAAACUGAUUUGAAAUUGAUAAACACUACCUUGGAAGUAAGGGAGAUUUACACUUAAAAUCCAGCUGUACAUUUUUUCUAUGUAGCAGUGCAGUGUUCAUUGCUAUUUGUGGUAACUGAUAACCCAUUCAGAUACAUGCAUACAUCUAUUUUAAUUAAGAAACUAUGGUUUGCACUGUAUUAAAUAUCUUGAUUAAUUUUCA